This 342-nucleotide long non-coding RNA is filed under the name Rattus norvegicus (Norway rat). RNAcentral's name for it is "partial HAfT10 variant X2". The record is from RNAcentral. Lineage: Eukaryota; Metazoa; Chordata; Mammalia; Rodentia; Muridae.
CCUCGGUGGGGUGCACACUUUUGGGUACAGAAGGGAGGGUGACUGUCUUUUCUGCAGCAGGCACUUCUUGGUAAGGUCAUAGUUUGGGAAGCGGAGGAGAAUGUGGGCCCCAGAAUGGGGUACUGGCAGGGCUCGAUCUUUCGUCCUUGAAACUCAUUGUCUGUGUUAGGCUCUGCAGAAGUAGGCCCAGAGAUGACUUUCAUAGUUCAGAUCCUGUGAGGUAUCCCAGGAAACACAGGCGAUGGCUGGGCCUGGGAAGGCAGUCUUUGUGCACAGAAGUCACCGUUGUUUUGGUUCUCUAUCAGAGCAGUCGUAUACAAUUUCCUGACCGUUGUAUCAAUC